GGCUGCUUAACAUGCAGUCGAGCGGUAACAGGGUGCUUGCACCGCUGACGAGUGGCGAACGGGUGAGUAAUGCUUCGGAACGUGCCUAUUAGUGGGGGAUAACGCUCCGAAAGGUGUGCUAAUACCGCAUACGAACUGAGGUUGAAAGUGGGGGACCUUCGGGCCUCGCGCUAUUCGAUCGGCCUACGUCUGAUUAGCUAGUUGGUGGGGUAAAGGCCUACCAAGGCGACGAUCAGUAGCGGGUCUGAGAGGAUGAUCCGCCACACUGGGACUGAGACACGGCCCAGACUCCUACGGGAGGCAGCAGUGGGGAAUUUUGGACAAUGGGGGCAACCCUGAUCCAGCCAUGCCGCGUGUCUGAAGAAGGCCUUCGGGUUGUAAAGGACUUUUGUCCGGGAGGAAAUGCUGGUGGCUAAUAUCCACCGGAGCUGAGAGUACCUGAAGAAUAAGCACCGGCUAACUACGUGCCAGCAGCCGCGGUAAUACGUAAGGGUGCGAGCGUUAAUCGGAAUUACUGGGCGUAAAGCGUGCGCAGGCGGUCUGACUAGC
This 549-nucleotide ribosomal RNA is filed under the name Vogesella indigofera. RNAcentral's name for it is "bacterial SSU rRNA". It matches the Rfam family "Bacterial small subunit ribosomal RNA", at positions 45 to 588 of the family's 1533-position model. Lineage: Bacteria; Pseudomonadati; Pseudomonadota; Betaproteobacteria; Neisseriales; Chromobacteriaceae. The record is from RNAcentral.